Molecule: non-coding RNA, 229 nt
Organism: Arachis ipaensis
Lineage: Eukaryota; Viridiplantae; Streptophyta; Magnoliopsida; Fabales; Fabaceae
Source: RefSeq, a predicted model, not a curated record
GCUAAUUCAUGAUUUCUAAACAAUAUUAUUCAUAACAACCUUGAAGCUGCGCAAAUUACAGCAAGCCAUAUAUACAAGAGAAUGAGGGCUUUUAUGAUGCAUUAUUAUUUAAGUGGGAAAAAAAGGUCAUUAUGUACUCGACGAGGUAUCGAUUAUUCUAGCUAAAACAUGGGCAUGAGCCAAUUUGAUAUACAUCUUAAAAAUGGAGCAUAAAGAUUGAGGGAUGAGU